AACGAACGCUGGCGGCAGGCCUAACACAUGCAAGUCGAACGGGAUCUUCGGAUCUAGUGGCGGACGGGUGAGUAACGCGUGGGAACGUGCCCUUUGGUUUGGAAUAGCCCCGGGAAACUGGGAGUAAUACCGGAUAAGCUCUACGGAGGAAAGAUUUAUCGCCAAAGGAUCGGCCCGCGUUGGAUUAGGUAGUUGGUGAGGUAAUGGCUAACAAAGCCGACGAUCCAUAGCUGGUUUGAGAGGAUGAACAGCCACACUGGGACUGAGACACGGCCCAGACUCCUACGGGAGGCAGCAGUGGGGAAUCUUAGACAAUGGGGGAAACCCUGAUCUAGCCAUGCCGCGUGAUCGAUGAAGGCCUUAGGGUUGUAAAGAUCUUUCAGUGGGGAAGAUAAUGACUGUACCCACAGAAGAAGCCCCGGCUAACUCCGUGCCAGCAGCCGCGGUAA
This 449-nucleotide ribosomal RNA is filed under the name uncultured bacterium. Its description in RNAcentral is "partial 16S ribosomal RNA". It matches the Rfam family "Bacterial small subunit ribosomal RNA", at positions 29 to 523 of the family's 1533-position model. The record is from RNAcentral.